This 485-nucleotide ribosomal RNA is filed under the name Blastocystis sp. subtype 3. RNAcentral describes it as "bacterial SSU rRNA". It matches the Rfam family "Eukaryotic small subunit ribosomal RNA", at positions 459 to 954 of the family's 1831-position model. The record is from RNAcentral. Lineage: Eukaryota; Bigyra; Opalinata; Blastocystidae.
UGGAGGUAGUGACAAUAAAUCACAAUGCGGAACAAUGUUUUGCAAUUGGAUUGAGAACAACGUACAAACCUUAUCGAUAAACAAUUGGAGGGCAAGUCUGGUGCCAGCAGCCGCGGUAAUUCCAGCUCCAAUAGCGUAUAUUAACGUUGUUGCAGUUAAAAAGCUCGUAGUUGAAAUGAAGGGUAGUUGUGUAAUGAAUACAUUCGUGUAUUUUGUUAUUCAAGUACCCUCCUUCUAAAUUCGAUAUAUGAGUAUUAAUUUACUUGUAUAUGGUUUUAGACAUUUACUGUGAGAAAAUUAGAGUGUUCAAAGCAGGCAUUUGCUUGAAUAUAUUAGCAUGGAAUAAUCAUGUAUGAUUUUGCAUGAUGUAUUUGAUUGGUUUGGUUCAUGAGAAUAAGAUUAAAAGGGACAGUUGGGGGUAUUCAUAUUCAAUAGUCAGAGGUGAAAUUCUCGGAUUUAUGGAAGAUGAACAAGUGCGAAAGCAA